This 244-nucleotide ribosomal RNA is filed under the name uncultured bacterium. Its description in RNAcentral is "partial 16S ribosomal RNA". It matches the Rfam family "Bacterial small subunit ribosomal RNA", at positions 89 to 334 of the family's 1533-position model. The record is from RNAcentral.
UGGCGACCGGCGCACGGGUGAGUAACACGUAUCCAACCUGCCGAUGACUCGGGGAUAGCCUUUCGAAAGAAAGAUUAAUACCCGAUGGCAUAGUUCUUCCGCAUGGUAGAACUAUUAAAGAAUUUCGGUCAUCGAUGGGGAUGCGUUCCAUUAGGUUGUUGGCGGGGUAACGGCCCACCAAGCCUUCGAUGGAUAGGGGUUCUGAGAGGAAGGCCCCCCACAUUGGAACUGAGACACGGUCCAA